Long non-coding RNA from Priapulus caudatus, 265 nucleotides. RefSeq lists it as uncharacterized. The record is from RefSeq and is a predicted model, not a curated record. NCBI's taxonomy places the organism in Eukaryota, Metazoa, Priapulida, Priapulimorpha, Priapulimorphida, Priapulidae. The transcript is spliced from 2 exons.
GAGUAAUAAGAUUAUGGCAAGAUGAACUGAAGGAAAGUGCGCAAAAAUAGCUUUCGCCAAAUCGCGGCUGUGUAAAAUCAUCUGUGAGAUUGUCAUCGACUGCCACAGAAAUACCAAUGAAUCCAGAAUCAUGGUGACAUGGCGAAGUAUCUGAAGUGCGCCCCGGAACGUCUGGGUGGUGGGGGUCGAAGAAAGAGAUAGUAAACAAACGAAUUAAUUGGAAGAAAUUUUUUUUAAAUAAUUAAAGGAAUUAUGACUGAACAAA